RNAcentral lists this long non-coding RNA (430 nucleotides) under Piliocolobus tephrosceles (Ugandan red Colobus). RNAcentral describes it as "lncRNA (ENSPTEG00000002171.1)". The record is from RNAcentral. Lineage: Eukaryota; Metazoa; Chordata; Mammalia; Primates; Cercopithecidae.
AAAUGCCAAGGAUAUACGAUAAUAUUUGGAAUGAUGAUUAUAACACAUAUAAAAUCGAACAAAAUAAUUUUACAAAGGACCAAUAUGAAAUUACACCAAGUAGUAAUAAAAUUAGUGACAAACAAAUAGAUUUUACGUUAAGUUUAAAACAUGCUCAAUACGCUGUAAAUGCGCUAAUGUUUGAAGAUCUUAAGACCGCAACACACGAAUUAAAAACUGCCUUGAGUUACUUAGGUGAGUGAGUAGGGUUUUCAGCUAUUAUGUAUAACUUAAUAUAAUACCACUGCUAUGUACGCAUUGGGUAUAUAUUUCAUUGGCUUAAAAAAAAAAAAAAAAAAAAAAAAAAAAAAAAAAAACAUUUAUAUAAAUAUGUACCAUUCAUGGUGUGCUUGUGGUUACUCAACUAGUAAUAAAACUUUUUUUUUAUUCA